AGGGUAAACUGUCGUUCCUUAAUACUUUUGUUACUUAUGCACCGAAUUCGACUAUUUCGCAUUCAUUAGUGAUAGACGUGAAUCAACAAAUCCAAGGGGUGUAGAUAGUUUAUAAUUUAUCUUGUAACGCAGUUUGUUUAUCACAUAC
Molecule: non-coding RNA, 148 nt
Organism: Schizosaccharomyces pombe (fission yeast)
Lineage: Eukaryota; Fungi; Ascomycota; Schizosaccharomycetes; Schizosaccharomycetales; Schizosaccharomycetaceae
Source: Rfam